UGCCAGCGCCGCGGUAAUACCGGCAGCCCGAGUGAUGGCCACUCUUAUUGGGCCUAAAGCGUCCGUAGCCGGCCUCGCAAGUCCGUCGGGAAAUCCAGUAGCUCAACUACUGGGCGUCCGGCGGAAACUACAAGGCUUGGGACCGGAAGGCUCGAGGGGUACGUCCGGGGUAGGAGUGAAAUCCUGUAAUCCUGGACGGACCGCCGGUGGCGAAAGCGCCUCGGGAAGACGGACCCGACAGUGAGGGACGAAAGCUGGGAUCUCGAACCGGAUUAGAAACCCCAGUAGUCC
RNAcentral lists this ribosomal RNA (291 nucleotides) under uncultured bacterium. RNAcentral's name for it is "partial 16S ribosomal RNA". It matches the Rfam family "Archaeal small subunit ribosomal RNA", at positions 456 to 747 of the family's 1478-position model. The record is from RNAcentral.